This 77-nucleotide transfer RNA is filed under the name Clostridia bacterium. RNAcentral's name for it is "tRNA-Ile". It matches the Rfam family "tRNA". Rfam says of the family: Transfer RNA (tRNA) molecules are approximately 80 nucleotides in length. Their secondary structure includes four short double-helical elements and three loops (D, anti-codon, and T loops). RNAcentral also lists the same sequence under 1 other name. Lineage: Bacteria; Bacillati; Bacillota; Clostridia. The record is from RNAcentral.
GGGCCCAUAGCUCAGGUGGUCAGAGCGCACGCCUGAUAAGCGUGAGGUCCGUGGUUCGAAUCCACGUGGGCCCACCA